UUGGCUUUUCUGCCUUCAGCCUUAUCAGCCACUUACAGCUGCGGGCUCAGAAAACCCGAUUUCUGCGUGUUCCACCCUGGAGGACAGGAAGAUUCAAAGCGACAGAACCUCCUCAAUAAAACACAAUAGAUUCUUCUUCCAUCCGUUGAAGGUCCGACCUUGCCGUCAUGCUCCUAAUGGUCCACGUUUGCACUCUGCCAUGAUGCCCAGGGACAUUUGGCUGGAGAUGGACAAAAAUUAUUACAAGGGAAAACAAUACCAGGUAAUUGCCCACAUCAGCGCACAGGUACAAACAGCUCACAUCCAAACAAACAGCUCUGAGCUGCCAAAUACUGAUUUUCGCUGGUAAUUGCUUAAUUGUUAUUCCUCUCAGUUUUGUGCAGGCUCAUGCUUUUCUGAGGCGGUCAGAGCAAGAGCGGUGACUCGGUUCUCAUUGGGAUGAUGCCUCUUGUGUUUACAGUCCUCAGGCUGUCACCGCAUAGAAAUAAGCUGUAAGGGGGAAACGCUUGUUCAGCAUUACACAAUUUUGUGUUUUAGUCAUACUUUAAAAUUAAAUCAAUAUAUUUUCCUGUCAUAUUUAUAUAUUUUAGUAUUUUUAUAAAGGACUGAAACAAAGUGUAGUUUUAGCUAAAGGAAACAUCAUUAGUAAAACUGAAAUAAUGUGAAUGUCCAUUUAAAAUGACAUUAUUGUUUGUAAUGGAGUGUAAAAUUAAACUCAUGGCACGAUUUUAUAUGAUGCAAUGCUGAUUAAACAAUUGUUAACUAUAAAAGAAAACUUUGUGAGCCCUCAAGGUUGUUUUCUUUUUAUUUAUGCUCUACAGUUCAACGUGACAUU
Molecule: long non-coding RNA, 835 nt
Filed under: Danio rerio (zebrafish)
Lineage: Eukaryota; Metazoa; Chordata; Actinopteri; Cypriniformes; Danionidae
Description: lncRNA (ENSDARG00000117250.1)
Source: RNAcentral